This 507-nucleotide unclassified non-coding RNA is filed under the name Hevea brasiliensis (rubber tree). The record is from RNAcentral. Lineage: Eukaryota; Viridiplantae; Streptophyta; Magnoliopsida; Malpighiales; Euphorbiaceae.
UCUGGCAAUCUUUUUCCCUCCUGCUUCCUCCUACUUGGUCAACUUGAAGAGGGGAUUCUACCCUGGCGUGCUACUGCCCUGUUUGGUUACUUCUUCAAGGUGCUAUUGCUUACCCUUGAUAUCACAGGCUCUGUUUCACACUACUUUUGGUACAGCUCUCUCUAGCUUGCGUGUUUUCUCCUUAAUUUGGAUAUUGUGGCACUGGGUUUGUGUUCUUUUUGGUGGUCCGUGAAGAAUUAAGUACUAUUGACUGCUGAAAUUUUAUUUGAGGAUUGGGCAUUAUUGAUUUUGCUAUACUACUAUUGAGUGUGUUCCCAUCCAAGUCUGGUUGUAUUUUGCUUAAGGAGGGGAUAUUUGGUUAUGAACUAUUCAUGCUAUUGUGCUGUGGUGGUGUUUGCUUUGGGAUUUUAAGCUUUUUGGUAGGUGUUAUUACACCUAGAAGCUACUGUGAGCUUUGGCAUGACUACUCGAAGUGUUUUUUUGCUUUGGAACAUUGUCAUUACUCAG